Molecule: ribosomal RNA, 417 nt
Filed under: Babesia bigemina
Lineage: Eukaryota; Apicomplexa; Aconoidasida; Piroplasmida; Babesiidae
Description: partial small subunit ribosomal RNA
Rfam family: Eukaryotic small subunit ribosomal RNA
Source: RNAcentral
GUCUGGUGCCAGCAGCCGCGGUAAUUCCAGCUCCAAUAGCGUAUAUUAAACUUGUUGCAGUUAAAAAGCUCGUAGUUGUAUUUCAGCCUCGCGUUUUUUCCCUUUUUUUGGGUCUUUUCGCUGGCUUUUUUUUUACUUUGAGAAAAUUAGAGUGUUUCAAGCAGACUUUUGUCUUGAAUACUUCAGCAUGGAAUAAUAGAGUAGGACCUUGGUUCUAUUUUGUUGGUUUUGAGCCUUGGUAAUGGUUAAUAGGAACGGUUGGGGGCAUUCGUAUUUAACUGUCAGAGGUGAAAUUCUUAGAUUUGUUAAAGACGAACCACUGCGAAAGCAUUUGCCAAGGACGUUUUCAUUAAUCAAGAACGAAAGUUAGGGGAUCGAAGACGAUCAGAUACCGUCGUAGUCCUAACCAUAAACUAA